GAACCUCUGGUGUACCGGUUGUGACGCCAGUCGCAUCGCCGGGUAGCUAUGUUCGGAAGGGAUAACCGCUGAAAGCAUCUAAGCGGGAAGCCUACCUCAAGAUAAGAUUUCCCUAGGAAUUUAUUCCUCUAAAGAGCCGUUGAAGACUACGACGUUGAUAGGUUGGAUGUGGAAGUGCGGUGACGCAUGAAGCUGACCAAUACUAAUUGCUCGUGAGGCUUGACUAUACAACACCCAAACAGUUG
Molecule: ribosomal RNA, 245 nt
Filed under: Acinetobacter gandensis
Lineage: Bacteria; Pseudomonadati; Pseudomonadota; Gammaproteobacteria; Moraxellales; Moraxellaceae
Description: partial 23S ribosomal RNA
Rfam family: Bacterial large subunit ribosomal RNA
Source: RNAcentral